This 211-nucleotide long non-coding RNA is filed under the name Gossypium barbadense (sea-island cotton). Its description in RNAcentral is "long non-coding RNA (GBAR_LNC001571)". Lineage: Eukaryota; Viridiplantae; Streptophyta; Magnoliopsida; Malvales; Malvaceae. The record is from RNAcentral.
GAUGAAGUGCAUGUGAUAGGGAAACUAUUUCAUGCUUGUUGGAAUUAUUGCCUAAAUAUGGUUGUAUGUUAAUUAACCGGUAAGUUUACUUUCCAGUUAUUCAGACUUACUAAGCAUAUAAAUGCUUACCCCCUUCUCUUUUCCUUGUCUUACAGAGCUUGUGGACUCAUGAAGAUUGGAAGACGGUUGGACAAUCAACACACUAUCAACU